AGUGAACGCUGGCGGUAGGCCUAACACAUGCAAGUCGAACGGCAGCACAGUAAGAGCUUGCUCUUACGGGUGGCGAGUGGCGGACGGGUGAGGAAUACAUCGGAAUCUACUUUUUCGUGGGGGAUAACGUAGGGAAACUUACGCUAAUACCGCAUACGACCUACGGGUGAAAGCAGGGGAUCUUCGGACCUUGCGCGAUUGAAUGAGCCGAUGUCGGAUUAGCUAGUUGGCGGGGUAAAGGCCCACCAAGGCGACGAUCCGUAGCUGGUCUGAGAGGAUGGACAGCCACCAGGGAAACUGGACACCGGACCGACCCCCAACGGGAGGAAGCGGGGGGAAAAUUGGGGAAUGGGGGGCAGGCCUGUCCCAGCCAACCCGGGGGGGGGAGAAAGGCCUUCGGGUUGUAAGGCCUUUUUGUUGGGAAAAAAAAGAGGCAGGUUAAACCCCCGGUGUUUGAACGGAACCAAAAAAAAAGGCCCCGCCAACCUUGUG
RNAcentral lists this ribosomal RNA (492 nucleotides) under uncultured bacterium. RNAcentral's name for it is "partial 16S ribosomal RNA". It matches the Rfam family "Bacterial small subunit ribosomal RNA", at positions 29 to 507 of the family's 1533-position model. The record is from RNAcentral.